Molecule: long non-coding RNA, 570 nt
Filed under: Nicotiana benthamiana
Lineage: Eukaryota; Viridiplantae; Streptophyta; Magnoliopsida; Solanales; Solanaceae
Description: long non-coding RNA (NBEN_LNC028458)
Source: RNAcentral
GGUAAUGGGCUAUCCUCAAUUCUCAAAUGUUUCAAAUGUGGAGCACUCUGUUUCAUGUUGUUAUUUAGUUUCCUCUGAACAUCUAAUGUUUACGCUCUGUGUUUGAUUAGGUUUGCAAUCUGAAGCUCUUGCUGAGGAUUCCCUUAACUGGAAUUCAGCAGUUAACAACUAUUGGUCACUUCUUUCACCUUUAAUAUUUUCUGAUCACCCAAAGAGACCUGGAUGCUCUGUGUUUUAUUAGGUUUGCAAUCUGAAGCUCUUGCCGAGGAUUCCCUUAACUGGAAUUCAGCAGUUAACAACUAUUGGUCACUUCUUUCACCUUUAAUAUUUUCUGAUCACCCAAAGAGACCUGGUGAUGAUGAUCCUUCCCCUCCCUAUAAUAUGCUUAGAAAUGUGUUGGACAUGAAUGCCCAUUUUGGUGGUCUGAAUGCUGCACUACUGGAUGCACGAAAGUCAGCAUGGGUCAUGAACGUGAUUCCCACUACUGGGCCUAAUUAUCUUCCCCUAAUUCUUGACAGGGGAUUUGUUGGUGUUUUGCAUGAUUGGUAAAUUCUUCUCUCUUUCUCUGGU